RNAcentral lists this ribosomal RNA (800 nucleotides) under uncultured bacterium. RNAcentral describes it as "bacterial SSU rRNA". It matches the Rfam family "Bacterial small subunit ribosomal RNA", at positions 8 to 802 of the family's 1533-position model. The record is from RNAcentral.
AGAGUUUGAUCCUGGCUCAGGAUGAACGCUAGCGGCAGGCCUAAUACAUGCAAGUCGGACGGUAGCCGACCCUUCGGGGCCGGCGAGAGUGGCGGACGGGUGCGUAACGCGUAUGCAACCAACCCCCCACAGCGGGACAGCCGGUGGAAACGCCGGGCAAUCCCGCAUGCCGCCGUGUCGGGGCAUCCCGGCAUGGCGAAAGGCUACGGCCGGUGGGGGACGGGCAUGCGUGCCAUUAGCUGGUUGGCGGGGCGACGGCCCACCAAGGCGACGAUGGCUAGGGGAUCUGAGAGGACGGUCCCCCACACUGGUACUGAGACACGGACCAGACUCCUGCGGGAGGCAGCAGUAAGGGAUAUUGGGCAAUGGGGGGAACCCUGACCCAGCCAUGCCGCGUGAGGGAAUGGGGCCCUACGGGUCGUGAACCUCUUUUGCCGGGGGACAACGGCGGCGUCGAGAACGCCGCGUGCGGGUACCCGGCGAAUAAGCGUCGGCUAACUCCGUGCCAGCAGCCGCGGUAAUACGGAGGACGCGAGCGUUAUCCGGAUUCAUUGGGUUUAAAGGGUGCGCAGGCGGCCUGCCAAGUCAGCGGUGAAAGCCCGGGGCCCAACCCCGGAAGUGCCGUUGAUACUGUCGGGCUGGAAUGCGGUCGAGGCGGGCGGAACGUGGCGUGUAGCGGUGAAAUGCGUAGAUAUGCCACAGAACGCCGAUAGCGGAGGCAGCUCGCCAGGCCUGCAUUGACGCUCGGGCACGAAAGCGUGGGGAUCGAACAGGAUUAGAUACCCUGGUAGUCCACGCCG